UUGGUGUCUGCAUCGCGAUGGGACGACAGCUGCUAUUAGUUCACUUCCCUCUGACAUAAGAAUAUUCAACUACAGGUAGGACUGAUGCUGGAGUUUUGGUGAAACUGCCGAACAUCCCAAAACAACUAACACGGUCAUCUAUCAACUUGGUGUUGUAGAGCCACAAUUGUCCAGGACGUGAAUGUUACUCUACGCCAAAAGCGAUUAGCAUUUUUCGGGGCCAGACCAUUCAGUUUAAUUGUCGUCAUAUGUGUAAGCUCAUGAUGUUGGGACUUUUUGUUGUGACAUUGCUCCAUGCUGAAGGUGUUGGCCGUUGGGGCGAAUGGAAUUGUCCGAAAAAUUCCUCAACCCGUCGAAAUGCUGGUGGACAACUUUAUAUGGCCCGCAAGAAAAAUCAUUACGUGAAGGACUUUUUUCCUCCCCAUUCAGUGAGAUUGACUAUGGUCAUCGGCAGCUUACAUCUACGUCUUCUGAGAAUGGGCGCAAUCAUCACAAUCAAACCGCCAGUACGACUGCAAUUGGCGUUGCACUACGACGCCAAAUGGUUGGACGUUGCCGUGCGAUUGGUGGAAAUAACGGACCACUUUGUCUUUCGAGAGUCGGCCGUCAGUCCUGCAUUGGCUGACUAUUUUGUAGCUGUCAUUCUAGAGGAAUUCAACUGUAUUCAGUUUGUGUAGCGACGAGUCCUAAAUGGAAAGAUAACGGGUCGUGUCAAUGCAUUACUGACCAACGUUCUGCCACAUGUUUUGCCGAUCGCAUUUCUUUGAGUCAUGACAAGAAACUGGCUUCCAAAUUUGUUUCUUUACCAAAGGAUACUUCGCAUGAAUUUGGAAAUAUCUCAAAUGACGUCCAGCGACGUCAAGACGCUCGGAGUGGCCAACUCUUCUCCUUCCCACCAACAGCAGCUGCAGACGGGCGGCGGUGGCGGUGGCAAAUUGUUGGCCCAGGACAAAUUCUCCUCCUGUCAGAACCGAUUCGUCGUCCUGUGCAUCGAAGCCACCAGCCAAGGGGUGGCCACCGGUGGCAGUGGGCGGGUGAAGCGGACGGCCGAGCACAUCAUCUCGGAGGAUCACUACCAAGCCCACCUUCAGUCGCUCUUUUAACUUGUUCAUUUGUCGUGUUCCAGAAAUCUCUCCCAGGCAAAUUUUCGAUUUCAUUCUGAAAAUGAUUUGCAAAAAAUGACCCACGAGUCGGCCAAAGACCCGAAGGCACUUCUUCGUCUCUGCAUUUCCUUUUUUUUUUAAAUGUUUUUCUAAACUUGGGCAGCUUUUUGGGGGGAAUAAAAAACAAUCCGACGACAAUCGACCCAAAAUGUCGUCGUUGGCAAUUUAUAUAUUUUUGAAUUUAUACCCCUUCCUUGUUUUUCUCUCGCCCCCCGAGGAAUGAUGAGAUUGUCGGUGUGUGUGUUGCAUCAGUCACAAAAUGUGUGCUGCGUCCAAAGUCUUUGAUAUAACACGUAUAUAGCAACUACCAAUUACCCUUGUUAGAUGUCGCUGGCAUCGCUUUGUUUUCUUGUCACGUCAGAACUCAGAAGUUCUUGCUGCUUUCAUGCUGCUUUCUUCGUGAUUUUCUUUAUGUUUUUGGAAUAAAUUCAACGCCGUUUAAAAUGAGAAAACGUGUUGAAAGGGUCGUGCAGCUUACUGCUGUGUGUUCAAAAUCAUUGUAUUCUACUGAAGGUGCCAUCAAAAUGAAACAGGAUUCAUCAUAAUUGUCUGCUGUUUGUAUUGGACUUGCUAGAUCGCCAAUCCCAGCCAUGCCCCAAUUUUGAGUGUACACUACUAACUGUUUAUUAUUUCUAGAUCAUAGACGCCAAGCACAUUGAUGACAAAAACUAUAAACAAGAUUUGAUGAGAAGUCAUAUUUAGAAGGAAAAGGACAAGGACCAUACAGUCAACAAGGUUCCUUGUUUGCUAACCCGUUGGCUGCUACCCUUCAAUCUCCCUGUUUACUUCCUUACACAGGUCCUAUUGAUUUGAGGGUAACUCUUUCGCUACUGAUGACAUCAACUGUU
Daphnia pulex (common water flea) is the source of this 2011-nucleotide long non-coding RNA. RefSeq lists it as uncharacterized. Lineage: Eukaryota; Metazoa; Arthropoda; Branchiopoda; Diplostraca; Daphniidae. The transcript is spliced from 10 exons. The record is from RefSeq and is a predicted model, not a curated record.